This is a small nuclear RNA of Monodelphis domestica (gray short-tailed opossum), 161 nucleotides long. Its record names the gene U2. It matches the Rfam family "U2 spliceosomal RNA". Rfam says of the family: U2 is a small nuclear RNA (snRNA) component of the spliceosome (involved in pre-mRNA splicing). Complementary binding between U2 snRNA (in an area lying towards the 5' end but 3' to hairpin I) and the branchpoint sequence (BPS) of the intron results the bulging out of an unpaired adenosine, on the BPS, which initiates a nucleophilic attack at the intronic 5' splice site, thus starting the first of two transesterification reactions that mediate splicing. Lineage: Eukaryota; Metazoa; Chordata; Mammalia; Didelphimorphia; Didelphidae. The record is from Ensembl.
AUCGCUUCUCUGCCUUUUGGCUAAGAUCAAGUGUAGUAUGAUGUAAGGAAUAACCUUUGUGACACAGGUUCAGAGGCACAAGAUGUUCCUCCAUACUGAUCCCUGGGGAAUUCGGGGGACAGGGCAGGGUGAGAUCUACGACUACAAUUUUGCCAUUUUUU